AUGAACGCUGGCGGCGUGCCUAAUACCUGCCAGUCGCGCGAACAGACGAGGAGCUUGCUCCUCUGACGUUAGCGGCGGACGGGUGAGUAACACGUGGAUAACCUACCUAUAAGACUGGGAUAACUUCGGGAAACCGGAGCUAAUACCGGAUAAUAUAUUGAACCGCAUGGUUCAAUAGUGAAAGACGGUUUUGCUGUCACUUAUAGAUGGAUCCGCGCCGCAUUAGCUAGUUGGUAAGGUAACGGCUUACCAAGGCGACGAUGCGUAGCCGACCUGAGAGGGUGAUCGGCCACACUGGAACUGAGACACGGUCCAGACUCCUACGGGAGGCAGCAGUAGGGAAUCUUCCGCAAUGGGCGAAAGCCUGACGGAGCAACGCCGCGUGAGUGAUGAAGGUCUUCGGAUCGUAAAACUCUGUUAUUAGGGAAGAACAAAUGUGUAAGUAACUAUGCACGUCUUGACGGUACCUAAUCAGAAAGCCACGGCUAACUACGUG
RNAcentral lists this ribosomal RNA (496 nucleotides) under uncultured bacterium. RNAcentral's name for it is "partial 16S ribosomal RNA". It matches the Rfam family "Bacterial small subunit ribosomal RNA", at positions 29 to 507 of the family's 1533-position model. The record is from RNAcentral.